GGCCGGGUAGCUCAGUCGGUAGAGCAGGGGACUGAAAAUCCCCGUGUCGGGGGUUCGAUUCCCUCCCCGGCCA
This 73-nucleotide transfer RNA is filed under the name Xylella fastidiosa. Its description in RNAcentral is "tRNA-Phe". It matches the Rfam family "tRNA". Rfam says of the family: Transfer RNA (tRNA) molecules are approximately 80 nucleotides in length. Their secondary structure includes four short double-helical elements and three loops (D, anti-codon, and T loops). RNAcentral also lists the same sequence under 1 other name. The record is from RNAcentral. Lineage: Bacteria; Pseudomonadati; Pseudomonadota; Gammaproteobacteria; Lysobacterales; Lysobacteraceae.